This 222-nucleotide small nuclear RNA is filed under the name Suricata suricatta (meerkat). RNAcentral describes it as "U4 spliceosomal RNA (ENSSSUG00005003891.1)". The stretch from base 1 to 120 matches the Rfam family "U4 spliceosomal RNA". Rfam says of the family: U4 small nuclear RNA (U4 snRNA) is a component of the major U2-dependent spliceosome. The record is from RNAcentral. Lineage: Eukaryota; Metazoa; Chordata; Mammalia; Carnivora; Herpestidae.
AGCUUUGAGCAGUGGCAGUAUUGUAGCCAAUGAGGUUUAUCCGAGGCACGAUUAUUGCUAACUGAAAAGCUGGAACUCAAACUCAGGUCUUCCCCCAAGGAAUGUCCUUUCUUUCCAGAACAUCUGCCUAUCUGAUACACAUCAAACAUACGAACAAAACCCUACUGUUUGUUUAAUUAAACUUUAAAACUAUUUUUGAAAUUUUGAAAUGUUGGCAGCACU